GGUAGUCUAUCUGUGGUAUAGCAGCCGCACACACCUUGUUGGAUUGAAAUCUGUGGAUUUAUUCCCUGUGAGCGCCAGAGACUGUUGGACCGUUCACCCUCACGUUCAUCCUCACGUUCACCCUGUUGUUCACCCUCACGUUCACCAUAUGGGACAAGUAAACACGCACAAGAAUGAACGAGUGUCAAUAACGAGGCGUAAUAAUAUACCAAGAAGAAAUACCCUUGUCUGACGCCCCUGAGUGGGUGUUACAGUACUCAUAACCUUGCUUGCAGCUUAGACAGGCGGGAACAAAACCAAGUAUUCCUAUAUUACAUUGUGUUUUGUCAUAAGCAACAAGACAGAACAGUGGCGGAGGGACAGUAAACUUGUAUUCAGUUAAAUGUGUAGUCAUGGUGAAUAGUUGAGUAACAUACCGCUCCGUGCUUAC
Long non-coding RNA from Scylla paramamosain (green mud crab), 430 nucleotides. RefSeq lists it as uncharacterized. The transcript is spliced from 2 exons. NCBI's taxonomy places the organism in Eukaryota, Metazoa, Arthropoda, Malacostraca, Decapoda, Portunidae. The record is from RefSeq and is a predicted model, not a curated record.